AAGCGCUUGUGACCAGACUUGCGCCGGGCAGAUCAUCCGGUGUUCUCACCGGUGCACUCUGCCCGGCUCAGGCCAGCAUCGGUUCUCGCGGGGGGAUAAAGGCACCGGGAACGUAGCUCCUCCGGGAGUGUUAUAGCCCGGGGCGCAAUGCCCCCGCGGGGACCGAGGUUCGCGCAUCUGCAAGGAUGCUGGCGUAAUGGUCAUCAGCGA
Molecule: ribosomal RNA, 210 nt
Filed under: Chaetomium subaffine
Lineage: Eukaryota; Fungi; Ascomycota; Sordariomycetes; Sordariales; Chaetomiaceae
Description: partial large subunit ribosomal RNA
Source: RNAcentral